UGUGUGAUCUGUGGGAUAUUUUGCUCCCCGC
Molecule: non-coding RNA, 31 nt
Filed under: Mus musculus (house mouse)
Lineage: Eukaryota; Metazoa; Chordata; Mammalia; Rodentia; Muridae
Source: RNAcentral